This 513-nucleotide ribosomal RNA is filed under the name uncultured bacterium. RNAcentral's name for it is "partial 16S ribosomal RNA". It matches the Rfam family "Bacterial small subunit ribosomal RNA", at positions 29 to 523 of the family's 1533-position model. The record is from RNAcentral.
AACGAACGCUGGCGGCGUGCCUAACACAUGCAAGUCGAGCGCGAAAAGGGCAACCUGAGUAGAGCGGCGCACGGGUGCGUAACACGUGGGUAAUCUGCCUUAGAGUCGAGGAUAACCUUCCGAAAGGUUGGCUAAUACUCGGUAAGCUUACGGUGUCUUCGGACGCUGUGGGAAAAGUAGGCCUCUGUUUACAAGCUUACGCUCUGAGAUGAGCCCGCGGCCCAUCAGCUAGUUGGCGGUGGAACGGACCACCAAGGCAACGACGGGUAGCUGGUCUGAGAGGACGAUCAGCCACACUGGAACUGAGACACGGUCCAGACUACUACGGGAGGAAGCAGUGGGGAAUUUUCCACAAUGGGCGAAAGCCUGAUGGAGCAACGCCGCGUGUGUGAUGAAGGUUUUCGGAUCGUAAAGCACUUUCGACCGGGACGAAAAACCUCUGGCUAACAUCCAGGGGCCUGACGGUACCGGGAGAAGAAGCACCGGCUAACUCUGUGCCAGCCGCCGCCGUAA